GAUGAACGCUGGCGGCGUGCCUAAUACAUGCAAGUCGAGCGAACAGAUGAGGAGCUUGCUCCUCUGACGUUAGCGGCGGACGGGUGAGUAACACGUGGAUAACCUACCUAUAAGACUGGGAUAACUUCGGGAAACCGGAGCUAAUACCGGAUAAUAUAUUGAACCGCAUGGUUCAAUAGUGAAAGACGGUUUUGCUGUCACUUAUAGAUGGAUCCGCGCCGCAUUAGCUAGUUGGUAAGGUAACGGCUUACCAAGGCAACGAUGCGUAGCCGACCUGAGAGGGUGAUCGGCCACACUGGAACUGAGACACGGUCCAGACUCCUACGAGAGGCAGAAGUAGGGAAUCUUCCGCAAUGGGCGAAAGCCUGACGGAGCAACGCCGCGUGAGUGAUGAAGGUCUUCGGAUCGUAAAACUCUGUUAUUAGGGAAGAACAAAUGUGUAAGUAACUAUGAACGUCUUGACGGUACCUAAUCAGAAAGCCACGGCUAACUACGUG
This 497-nucleotide ribosomal RNA is filed under the name uncultured bacterium. RNAcentral's name for it is "partial 16S ribosomal RNA". It matches the Rfam family "Bacterial small subunit ribosomal RNA", at positions 28 to 507 of the family's 1533-position model. The record is from RNAcentral.